GGAUGGGUCUGCGCCCUAUCAGCUAGUUGGUAAGGUAAUGGCUUACCAAGGCAAUGACGGGUAGGCGGAGUGAGAGCUUGACCGCCAACAAUGGCACUGAGACACUGGCCAUACUCCUACGGGAGGCUGCAGUCGAGAAUAUUGGUCAAUGGGCGAAAGCCUGAACCAGCGACGUCGCGUGUAGGAAUAAGAUCUUCGGAUUGUAAACUACUUUUAUAAGGAAAGAAUCUUUUGAUGACGGUACCUUAUGAAUAAGGGGUGACUAAACUCGUGCCAGCAGUAGCGGUAAUACGAGUGCCCCAAGCGUUAUCCGGAUUUAUUGGGCGUAAAGAGUCUGUAGCCGGAUAUAUAAGUCUGUUUUCAAAUACUCCGACUCAAUCGGAGAAAGGGGAUAGAUACUGUAUUUCUGGAAUUUUUUGGGGGUUAGUGGAAAUUUCCCGGGGGAGCGGAUGAAAUGCGUUUAAUUCGAAAAGAACGCCAAAAGUGAAAAAACAUCUUACUACAAUAAACUUGACGGUCAAAGACGAAAGCUUGGGGACCAAACGGGAUUAGAUACCCCGGUAGUCCAAGCUGUAAAUUAUGCAUGCUAGAUGUUUUGGACCCUUGUGGUCUGGAGUGUCGUAAUCUAACGAGUUAAGCAUGCCGCCUGGGUAGUAUAUUCGCAAGAAUGAAACUCAAAGGGAUAGGCGGGGGAACACACAAGCAGUGGAUUAUCUAGAUUAAUUGGAUUCUAAGCCAAAAAUCUUACCUAAAUUUGACAUGUACUAUGUCCUAUGUGAAAGCAUAGUAGUCCGGGCAAUCGGACGUGGUACACAGGUGGUGCAUGCUCGUCGUCAGCUCGUGCCGCAAGGUGUUUAGUUAAGUCUAGAAACGAGCGCAACCCUCAUCUUUAGUUAGAAUGUCUAAAGAGACUGCUCCGGUAACGGAGAGGAAGGAGAGGAUGACGUCAGAUCCUCAUGCCCCUUACAUUUAGGGCUUCAUAGAUAAUACAAUGGACAGUACAACGAGAAGCUAAGCCGCGAGGUGGAGCAAAACUCUAAAGCUGUCCCUAGUUCGGAUUGUAGUCUGGAACUCGACUACAUGAAGUUGGAAUUGCUAGUAAUGGCGGGUCAGCUACACCGCCGUGAAUAUGUCCCUGUUCCUUGCACUCACCGCCCGUCAA
RNAcentral lists this ribosomal RNA (1162 nucleotides) under uncultured bacterium. RNAcentral describes it as "bacterial SSU rRNA". It matches the Rfam family "Bacterial small subunit ribosomal RNA", at positions 223 to 1400 of the family's 1533-position model. The record is from RNAcentral.